AGGGUAAGAUGGACGGAGAAGGAUUUCUAACCCAAUCUCCUCUUGGUUCAAAUCCAAGAUUACCCUU
RNAcentral lists this transfer RNA (67 nucleotides) under Goniodes dissimilis (brown chicken louse). RNAcentral describes it as "tRNA-Ser". The record is from RNAcentral. Lineage: Eukaryota; Metazoa; Arthropoda; Insecta; Psocodea; Philopteridae.